UGGGGAAUUUUGGACAAUGGGCGCAAGCCUGAUCCAGCCAUGCCGCGUGCGGGAAGAAGGCCUUCGGGUUGUAAACCGCUUUUGUCAGGGAAGAAAUCUUCUGAGUUAAUACCUCGGGAGGAUGACGGUACCUGAAGAAUAAGCACCGGCUAACUACGUGCCAGCAGCCGCGGUAAUACGUAGGGUGCAAGCGUUAAUCGGAAUUACUGGGCGUAAAGCGUGCGCAGGCGGUUUUGUAAGACAGAGGUGAAAUCCCCGGGCUCAACCUGGGAACUGCCUUUGUGACUGCAAGGCUUGAGUGCGCAGAGGGGGAUGGAAUUCCGCGUGUAGCAGUGAAAUGCGUAGAUAUGCGGAGGAACACCGAUGGCGAAGGCAAUCCCCCUGGGCCUGCACUGACGCUCAUGCACGAAAGCGUGGGGAGCAAACAGGAUUAGAUACCCUGGUAGUCCACGCCCUAAAACGAUGUC
RNAcentral lists this ribosomal RNA (467 nucleotides) under uncultured bacterium. RNAcentral's name for it is "partial 16S ribosomal RNA". It matches the Rfam family "Bacterial small subunit ribosomal RNA", at positions 355 to 813 of the family's 1533-position model. The record is from RNAcentral.